CUACGUAGGGAGCGAGCGUUGUCCGGAAUUACUGGGUGUAAAGGGAGCGUAGGCGGGAGUGCAAGUCAGAUGUGAAAUACAUGGGCUCAACCCAUGGGCUGCAUUUGAAACUGCAUUUCUUGAGUGAAGUAGAGGUAAGCGGAAUUCCUGGUGUAGCGGUGAAAUGCGUAAAUAUCAGGAGGAACACCGGUGGCGAAGGCGGCUUACUGGGCUUUUACUGACGCUGAGGCUCGAAAGCGUGGGGAGCAAACAGGAUUAGAUACCCUGGUAGUCCACGCUGUAAACGAUGAUUACUAGGUGUGGUGGGACUGACCCCUUCUGUGCCGCAGUUAACACAAUAAGUAAUCCACCUGGGGAGUACGGCCGCAAGGUUGAAACUCAAAUGAAUUGGCGGGG
This 396-nucleotide ribosomal RNA is filed under the name uncultured bacterium. RNAcentral's name for it is "partial 16S ribosomal RNA". It matches the Rfam family "Bacterial small subunit ribosomal RNA", at positions 523 to 918 of the family's 1533-position model. The record is from RNAcentral.